AACACUGUUAACCUGCGGUACCUGCGGAGGGAUCAUUACACAAUAAACAUAUGAAGGCUGCACCGCCAACAGGCGGCAAGGCUGGAGUAUUUUAUUACCCUUGUCUUUUGCGCACUUGUUGUUUCCUGGGCGGGUUCGCCCGCCUCCAGGACCACAUGAUAAACCUUUUUUAUGCAGUUGCAAUCAGCGUCAGUACAACAAAUGUAAAUCAUUUACAACUUUUAACAAUGGAUCUCAGAU
Molecule: unclassified non-coding RNA, 240 nt
Filed under: soil metagenome
Description: partial contains 5.8S ribosomal RNA, internal transcribed spacer 2, and large subunit ribosomal RNA
Source: RNAcentral